RNAcentral lists this ribosomal RNA (468 nucleotides) under uncultured bacterium. RNAcentral's name for it is "partial 16S ribosomal RNA". It matches the Rfam family "Bacterial small subunit ribosomal RNA", at positions 28 to 507 of the family's 1533-position model. The record is from RNAcentral.
GACGAACGCUGGCGGCGUGCUUAACACAUGCAAGUCGAACGGAAAGGCCCUGCUUUUGUGGGGUGCUCGAGUGGCGAACGGGUGAGUAACACGUGAGUAACCUGCCCUUGACUUUGGGAUAACUUCAGGAAACUGGGGCUAAUACCGGAUAGGAGCUCCUGCUGCAUGGUGGGGGUUGGAAAGUUUCGGCGGUUGGGGAUGGACGCGCGGCUUAUCAGCUUGUUGGUGGGGUAGUGGCUUACCAAGCCUUUGACGGGUAGCCGGCCUGAGAGGGUGACCGGCCACAUUGGGACUGAGGUACGGCCCAGACGCCUACGGGAGGCAGCAGUGGGGAAUAUUGCACAAUGGGCGGAAGCCUGAGGCAGCAACGCCGCGGGCGGGAUGACGGCCUUCGGGUUGUAAACCGCUUUCGCCUGUGACGAAGCGUGAGUGACGGUAAUGGGUAAAGAAGCACCGGCUAACUACGUG